GAUAAGUUUUAUUUUGGUUUUAAAUUUUAAUAUAUAGAUUAAUUUAUAUGUAAGUUUUAGCUUUAAAAAAUUAUUUAAAUAUUAAUUUUUAAUUUUAUUAGAUGCAAUAAUUAAUUUUAUACUUAUAAAAGAAAUUUUGAUAUAAUAAUUUAUAAGAGUAUUGGCUAAAUUUGUGCCAGCAGUCGCGGUUAAACAGGUGAUGCAAUUAAAUUUAUUUAAGUUUGAUAAUUUACAUGAUAAUUAAUUAUUAAUUUAAAAUUAUUUUUAAUAAGUGAAAUUAGAAAUUUAAAUAAAAUUAAUUUGAAGUUUGGAGAUUUAUGAAAUUUUAUUAUUAAACUAGGAUUAGAUACCCUAUUAUAAAAAAUGUAAAUUUUAUAUACUAGAUUAUUAUUAGUUAUGUUCUUGAAAUUUAAAAGAUUUGGCGGUAUUUUAAGUCUUUUUAGAGGAACCUGUUCUAUAAUUGAUGAUCCACGAUUAAUUGUACUUGAUUUUAUUAGUUUGUAUACCGUCGUCAUUUGAAUGUCUUAAAAGAGUUAAAGAAUGUUCAUAAGUUAUUAUUUUUAUAAAGUAAAUCAGAUCAAGGUACAGCUUAUAAUUAAGAAGAAAUGGGUUACAAUAAAUUUAUUUAUAUGGUAAUAAAUAAUUAACAUUAUUAUUUAAAGUGGAUUUAAUAGUAAUUUAUUUAAGUUAAAAUAUAUGAUUAAAAGCUCUGAAAUGUGCACAUAUCGCCCGUCGUUUCCAAUAAAUAUUUAAGUUGGAAUAAGUCGUAACAUAGUAGGUGUACCGGAAGGUGUAUCUAGUUAGAU
This 806-nucleotide non-coding RNA is filed under the name Eurysternus sp. KM-2017. Lineage: Eukaryota; Metazoa; Arthropoda; Insecta; Coleoptera; Scarabaeidae. The record is from RNAcentral.